RNAcentral lists this unclassified non-coding RNA (279 nucleotides) under Hevea brasiliensis (rubber tree). The record is from RNAcentral. Lineage: Eukaryota; Viridiplantae; Streptophyta; Magnoliopsida; Malpighiales; Euphorbiaceae.
CGGAUUUUACGCGUAAAAGUUAUCUUCAUUGCAAGACAAAAAUAUAGAUGGAUUUGUGAAAAUGCAUGAUGUUGUUCGAGAUAUUGCUCUAAUAGGCAAGAAUUUCCUCAAUGGUACUUGAAAUGUCUAAGUAAGGAUUGCACUAGAAUUUCUUUGCCUUAUUGUGAUAUCGAAGAACUCCAUCAAUGUAUGGAAUGGCUAAAGCAAGAUUUGUACCGGAAUUUCUUUACCUUAUUAUAAUAUUUAAGAACUCCUUCAAUGUAUGGAAUGGUUAGGCGA